RNAcentral lists this long non-coding RNA (573 nucleotides) under Setaria viridis. Its description in RNAcentral is "long non-coding RNA (SVIR_LNC010338)". The record is from RNAcentral. Lineage: Eukaryota; Viridiplantae; Streptophyta; Magnoliopsida; Poales; Poaceae.
UGUGGCACUGCUAGAGUAAGUAACAAUAGUGGCAACUCCAUUCUAACACUUUAGUGAUCCAACAUGAAAUGCAUCAUCAAUCCAGGCAAAAAUGAGCUAGCAAACAUUUAAAACGUGAUCCAUCACCUUAAAUAGACCAUUAUAAUAGGGUGAGAUCUUCCCUUGGGUUUUAUAGGAAUGGGGUGGGUGAAGAGGCGCAACCACUUGCAUGGCUUGAAGGUAUGGUCAUGGUUUUGAUGGUCAGAGUAGUGGUGUGUGAGCACCUAAGCUUGGAGAAUACAUUCAUGAAUGCUAGCAAGAAAGAUGUUACAACCCAUUAAGGUGGCAUCAGCAUCAGACAUAUCUACAACUCAUCAUGCAUCAAAGUAUACAAGGUAUGUAAUGCCUCUAUCCCAAAUUACAAGAAAAAAAUUAUACAAAUUAUGGAAACUAAUGAUUGGUCUUCUUUGCCCCUCAUUGUGCUGCACCAUUCCUCCGUGUCCACGAGCAUCCCAUCCCACCUAUACCUGCCACUGCACCUACAAGCUUGCCCACUUGGCUCCCCUUCAGUGAUCCUCCACAUCACGCCCACCC